RNAcentral lists this unclassified non-coding RNA (740 nucleotides) under Melitaea cinxia (Glanville fritillary). RNAcentral's name for it is "misc RNA ENSMCXG00005004357.1". Lineage: Eukaryota; Metazoa; Arthropoda; Insecta; Lepidoptera; Nymphalidae. The record is from RNAcentral.
AAAUCCUAUUGAGGUUGUAAUCUCAACUGCACCGAUCAGUCACCCUCGGUCUUUUCUCAACUGGCGAAUUGACAAAAUUAUGUUAUUGUGAUAGCCAUUAUAUCGAUUUUUUGUCAUAUUUUCGAAGUAAUCUCUCUCCAGUUUCAUUUCUAACAUAUAUAUUCAAAUUAAGUUAGCAUAAUAUUGUUUUGAACAUGCGAGCCCCUGGUGGGUGUAGUUUAAAUUUUUUUUUUUUUUUUUUUAUAAAAAAUAUAUUAUACAAAUAAUAUAAUAAAUAGUUCUUUAUCAUUAUAUUUCUAUAAAUACGAAACCAUCUUCUUAAGAUUCUAUAUUAUACCCAUUUUUUCGUAAAAAUGUAAAAUAGGAAGUGUAAAUUAUAAAAAUGUAACAAGCGCUGUUUGACUGCAUUUGGUGUGAAUGAAACUAUUGUGAUUUGAGAAAUCUUUGGGACCACGAUCACAAGGUCGCCGAUUCGAUUCUCAUGGCGUAUAAUAAUAAUUUAAUUUUAAAUGGUGAAAAUGAUUCUGACUUUCGAUGAUUAAGUUUUGACCGAAUGCAGUCGUCGUACUAUAAACAAACUGAGCUUUAAGCGUCUCUGCGGAGCUAUGCUGUAUUUAUAAAGUGUAAUUUAUUAUGAUGUUUAACGAGAAAUCUACCGGCUUGUAACUUAGCGUAGAACGAAAAUGACUAUACACAAUAAAAAUUAUUGAAAUUAUUUUGAAAUAUUGAAAAAAAAAAAA